UACGGAGGAUCCAAGCGUUAUCCGGAUUUAUUGGGUUUAAAGGGUGCGUAGGCGGAAUUGUAAGUCAGUGGUGAAAGCCCUUCGCUUAACGAAGGAACUGCCAUUGAUACUGCAAAUCUUGAGUACAUUUGAUGUGGGCGGAAUGUGUCAUGUAGCGGUGAAAUGCUUAGAUAUCGUCAAGAACACCUAUUGCGAAGGCAGCUAACUAAGCUUUAACUGACGCUGAUGCACGAAAGUGUGGGGAUCAAACAGG
This 253-nucleotide ribosomal RNA is filed under the name uncultured bacterium. RNAcentral describes it as "partial 16S ribosomal RNA". It matches the Rfam family "Bacterial small subunit ribosomal RNA", at positions 524 to 776 of the family's 1533-position model. The record is from RNAcentral.